Molecule: unclassified non-coding RNA, 109 nt
Organism: Cercocebus atys (sooty mangabey)
Lineage: Eukaryota; Metazoa; Chordata; Mammalia; Primates; Cercopithecidae
Rfam family: Y RNA
About the family: Y RNAs are components of the Ro ribonucleoprotein particle (Ro RNP), in association with Ro60 and La proteins.
Source: Ensembl
UCCUGGUCCGAAUGUAAUGAGUUAUCUCAAUUGAUUAUUUACAGUCACAGAUCGAACUCUUUGUUAUAUUCUUUUCCCUCUUCUCACUACUGCACUUGAUUAGUCUUUA